CAAAAAAAAGGAACACUCUGUUCCACACACACACACAUGUGUUUUGUUUCAUGUCUCAGUCGCAGUCUGAGUUUCGGUGUCUGCCACUGGCACUUGACGUGGUCGCCGCCUCAAGCCCAACCACAGCUCCAACUGAGUCUGAGUCUGAGUUUCUACCUCCGUCUUCAUCUCCAACUGGAUUCAAACCGCGGACUCAUCAUCGGCCUGCGGCUUUUGUGCUGGGUUAAUUACUAAGCGAGUCACACGCGCUUGAAUAAUUCAAGGCUAUCGCAUGCAGUUCUCGAUGUUCAUUUCUAUUGCACAGCUGCAACUUUGCAACUUGCCACUUUUUUCUCUCUUCUUUUAUUUUUGCAGUACUUAUUAUAAAGCCAAACAUCAUUCGCGCUGUGUUCGCUGUAACAUAAUCUGGCUGAAAUCGUCGAGGGAAUUAGGAUUGCAGUUGCGUUUCUUGCUGGCAUUUUACUACGCAGCUUGGCGCUGCAAUGACUAAGUAUCUUAUAAUGAAGUGCAUAUUAGCAGCUGCUGUAGGUAGCAGCUAUAAAAGCGUCGCGACGUUUUCUUUUCGGGGUGGAGUCUUAUCCAGCGUAAUUGAUAUGGAAUUUGAAAUGCAUACGAAGAUCAUCAGACAACAAUGAAAUAUCAUAUCGAGUUUAACGACGUCUUAAGGUGGCAUUAAUGAUUGUCAUAAUAGAGAAAUUAAUUCAAGAAAGUCUAAUUGCAUUCCUUUAAUAAUUAAAUUAUGUUUAACAAUA
Molecule: long non-coding RNA, 752 nt
Organism: Drosophila nasuta
Lineage: Eukaryota; Metazoa; Arthropoda; Insecta; Diptera; Drosophilidae
Exons: 2
Source: RefSeq, a predicted model, not a curated record